GAGUUUGAUCAUGGCUCAGAUUGAACGCUGGCGGCAUGCCUUACACAUGCAAGUCGAACGGCAGCACGGGAGCUUGCUCCUGGGUGGCGAGUGGCGAACGGGUAAGUAAUGCAUCGGAACGUAUCCUGGAGUGGGGGAUAACGUAGCGAAAGUUACGCUAAUACCGCAUAUUCUGUGAGCAGGAAAGCGGGGGACCUUCGGGCCUCGCGCUCUUGGAGCGGCCGAUGUCGGAUUAGCUAGUUGGUGAGGUAAAGGCUCACCAAGGCGACGAUCCGUAGCAGGUCUGAGAGGAUGAUCUGCCACACUGGAACUGAGACACGGUCCAGACUCCUACGGGAGGCAGCAGUGGGGAAUUUUGGACAAUGGGGGCAACCCUGAUCCAGCCAUGCCGCGUGAGUGAAGAAGGCC
RNAcentral lists this ribosomal RNA (408 nucleotides) under bacterium enrichment culture clone ALO1_GLFRUDD03F0V5J. RNAcentral's name for it is "bacterial SSU rRNA". It matches the Rfam family "Bacterial small subunit ribosomal RNA", at positions 9 to 416 of the family's 1533-position model. The record is from RNAcentral.